This 212-nucleotide ribosomal RNA is filed under the name uncultured bacterium. Its description in RNAcentral is "partial 16S ribosomal RNA". It matches the Rfam family "Bacterial small subunit ribosomal RNA", at positions 28 to 230 of the family's 1533-position model. The record is from RNAcentral.
GACGAACGCUGGCGGCGUGCUUAACACAUGCAAGUCGAGGGCACUAUGGGGGCAACCUUGUAGUGACCGGCGAACGGGUGCGUAACACGUGAGCGACCUUGCCUCGUGGUGGGGAUAGCCGGCCCAACGCCGGGUAAUACCGCAUAUGGUGCUUCUCUCGCAUGGGAGAGGUAGCAAAGCCUUGCAGCAAUGCAAUGGCGCCACAGGGGGGC